AUGCACGCUGGCGGCGUGCCUCAUCCAUGCAAGUCGAGCGAACAGACGAGGAGCUUGCUCCUCUGACGUUAGCGGCGGACGGGUGAGUAACACGUGGAUAACCUACCUAUAAGACUGGGAUAACUUCGGGAAACCGGAGCUAAUACCGGAUAAUAUAUUGAACCGCAUGGUUCAAUAGUGAAAGACGGUUUUGCUGUCACUUAUAGAUGGAUCCGCGCCGCAUUAGCUAGUUGGUAAGGUAACGGCUUACCAAGGCGACGAUGCGUAGCCGACCUGAGAGGGUGAUCGGCCACACUGGAACUGAGACACGGUCCAGACUCCUACGGGAGGCAGCAGUAGGGAAUCUUCCGCAAUGGGCGAAAGCCUGACGGAGCAACGCCGCGUGAGUGAUGAAGGUCUUCGGAUCGUAAAACUCUGUUAUUAGGGAAGAACAAAUGUGUAAGUAACUAUGCACGUCUUGACGGUACCUAAUCAGAAAGCCACGGCUAACUACGUG
RNAcentral lists this ribosomal RNA (496 nucleotides) under uncultured bacterium. RNAcentral describes it as "partial 16S ribosomal RNA". It matches the Rfam family "Bacterial small subunit ribosomal RNA", at positions 29 to 507 of the family's 1533-position model. The record is from RNAcentral.